ACUCCUACGGGAGGCAGCAGUGGGGAAUAUUGCACAAUGGGGGAAACCCUGAUGCAGCGACGCCGCGUGAACGAAGAAGGUAUUCGUAUCGUAAAGUUCUGUCCUAUGGGAAGAUAAUAACAGUACCAUAGAAGAAAGCUCCGGCUAAAUACGUGCCAGCAGCCGCGGUAAU
RNAcentral lists this ribosomal RNA (172 nucleotides) under uncultured bacterium. RNAcentral describes it as "partial 16S ribosomal RNA". It matches the Rfam family "Bacterial small subunit ribosomal RNA", at positions 335 to 524 of the family's 1533-position model. The record is from RNAcentral.